GACGAGGGAUCCUAGCGUUGUUCGGAGUCAUUGGGCGUAAAGCGGGUGUAGGUGGCUUGGUAAGUCAGGUGUGAAAGCCCAGGGCUUAACCCUGGAAGUGCAUUUGAAACUGCCGAGCUUGAGUGUGGGAGAGGAUAGUGGAAUUCCUGGUGUAGUGGUGAAAUACGUAGAUAUCAGGAGGAACAUCGGUGGCGAAGGCGGCUAUCUGGCCCAACACUGACACUCAGACCCGAAAGCGUGGGGAUCAAACAGG
Molecule: ribosomal RNA, 253 nt
Filed under: uncultured bacterium
Lineage: Bacteria
Description: partial 16S ribosomal RNA
Rfam family: Bacterial small subunit ribosomal RNA
Source: RNAcentral